RNAcentral lists this ribosomal RNA (495 nucleotides) under uncultured bacterium. Its description in RNAcentral is "bacterial SSU rRNA". It matches the Rfam family "Bacterial small subunit ribosomal RNA", at positions 28 to 506 of the family's 1533-position model. The record is from RNAcentral.
GAUGAACGCUAGCGGCAGGCUUAAUACAUGCAAGUUGAGGGGCAGCAUGAUAUACGCGAGUAUAUUGAUGGCGACCGGCGGACGGGUGAGUAAUAGGUAGGAGACCUACCUCAUACAGGGGGAUAGCAUAGAGAAAUCUGUGGUAAUACCCCAUGAGGUUAUAUGAAUAGAGGCAUAUAAUCAAAGCAUAAGCGAUUAUGCGGUAUGAGAGGGGCCUACUGACCAUUAGCUAGUUGGUGAGGUAAGGGCUCACCAAGGCGAAGAUGGUUAGGGGUUUUGAGAGAGAGACCCCCCACAUUGGAACUGAGAGACGGUCCAGACUCCUACGGGAGGCAGCAGUAGGGAAUAUUGGGCAAUGGGCGAAAGCCUGACCCAGCCAUGCCGCGUGAAGGAAGACGGCCUUAUGGGUUGUAAACUUCUUACUACGCGAAUAGAGGUUAGUACGAGAUACUAAAUAGGAAGGUAGUGUAGGUAAAAGACACCGGCUAACUCCGU